Molecule: ribosomal RNA, 585 nt
Filed under: Enterococcus faecium
Lineage: Bacteria; Bacillati; Bacillota; Bacilli; Lactobacillales; Enterococcaceae
Description: bacterial SSU rRNA
Rfam family: Bacterial small subunit ribosomal RNA
Source: RNAcentral
CGUACGCUUCUUUUUCCACCGGAGCUUGCUCCACCGGAAAAAGAGGAGUGGCGAACGGGUGAGUAACACGUGGGUAACCUGCCCAUCAGAAGGGGAUAACACUUGGAAACAGGUGCUAAUACCGUAUAACAAUCGAAACCGCAUGGUUUUGAUUUGAAAGGCGCUUUCGGGUGUCGCUGAUGGAUGGACCCGCGGUGCAUUAGCUAGUUGGUGAGGUAACGGCUCACCAAGGCCACGAUGCAUAGCCGACCUGAGAGGGUGAUCGGCCACAUUGGGACUGAGACACGGCCCAAACUCCUACGGGAGGCAGCAGUAGGGAAUCUUCGGCAAUGGACGAAAGUCUGACCGAGCAACGCCGCGUGAGUGAAGAAGGUUUUCGGAUCGUAAAACUCUGUUGUUAGAGAAGAACAAGGAUGAGAGUAACUGUUCAUCCCUUGACGGUAUCUAACCAGAAAGCCACGGCUAACUACGUGCCAGCAGCCGCGGUAAUACGUAGGUGGCAAGCGUUGUCCGGAUUUAUUGGGCGUAAAGCGAGCGCAGGCGGUUUCUUAAGUCUGAUGUGAAAGCCCCCGGCUCAACCGGGGA